This 491-nucleotide ribosomal RNA is filed under the name uncultured bacterium. RNAcentral describes it as "partial 16S ribosomal RNA". It matches the Rfam family "Bacterial small subunit ribosomal RNA", at positions 29 to 506 of the family's 1533-position model. The record is from RNAcentral.
AGUGAACGCUGGCGGUAGGCCUAACACAUGUAAGUCGAACGGCAGCACAGUAAGAGCUUGCUCUUACGGGUGGCGAGUGGCGGACGGGUGAGGAAUACAUCGGAAUCUACUUUUUCGUGGGGGAUAACGUAGGGAAACUUACGCUAAUACCGCAUACGACCUACGGGUGAAAGCAGGGGAUCUUCGGACCUUGCGCGAUUGAAUGAGCCGAUGUCGGAUUAGCUAGUUGGCGGGGUAAAGGCCCACCAAGGCGACGAUCCGUAGCUGGUCUGAGAGGAUGAUCAGCCACACUGGAACUGAGACACGGUCCAGACUCCUACGGGAGGCAGCAGUGGGGAAUAUUGGACAAUGGGCGCAAGCCUGAUCCAGCCAUACCGCGUGGGUGAAGAAGGCCUUCGGGUUGUAAAGCCCUUUUGUUGGGAAAGAAAAGCAGCAGGUUAAUACCCCGCUGUUCUGACGGUACCCAAAGAAUAAGCACCGGCUAACUUCGU